GAUGGAGAAAGAAAGUAGGAAGUGCGCUGUUGGGAAGGUGAAUGACGAGUCACGUGCACGGUACUCUCGUCACAUCAGUGGGAUUUAAACAAUGUCCUACGGUGGAUGUACGUAGUCGUUCUCUGGAGCCUUCCGUGUGUGUGUGUGUGUAUCUCUCUCUCUCUCUCUCUCUCUCUCUCUCUCUCUCUCUCUCUCUUUCCGAUAAUGCCUGCUUGACACACAACGCCAGUGCCUGCUGAGAUUACGGGUGGCUUUGAAGAGAAAGAUCAACACCUUAUGGACUUAGCAAUGGUACACGUGAGGUUCUUCGGUUUUUAUCCCAAAGAACCACGUCGUGCCCCGCCGUUGACGUUCCUCCUUCAUUGGGUCAAGGCAGCCCCCACCACUACCUCUGCAGCCACCACCACCGCCACCACUACCACCACCGCCACCACCAUCACUAUCGCCCAAUACAUUCCUGUUACGGUGAAGCAUCUCCGGAGAAAAGAGUGCGGGAGCGUUGAGAGCGAGUACCGGGAGGGAACGAUGCGGCCAGCGAUAUACGAGAGGGAGGGGUGUGUACUCCUUGCCUCGCUGCUUGGGUGUUGAGGGGAGGCACGCCCAGCACGGGAUGGAAAUGUAGAGGAAAGAGGAAGAGGAGGAGGAGAAAAAAAGGGGAACACAGAAAAAUACAAAGGAAAAACGAACAAGUAGAUCUGUAGGUUGUUAAGAUGUGGCCGUCAGCCUGGACUGGGACUGGCAGAUGUGGUCCACCUGCGUAUCAGGUGGAUGGUGUAUCAGUCACUGAUAACAAGAGAGGGUGGACACACGUUGUUUUGUGGUCACGGUAAGUUGAAGCCUCACACAGCUCUUAAUGUGACCCCACACUGAGCGCCGUCAUCAUUACCAUCAUUCAGCCCGACCUCUGUGCCCCCAUCACCAUGGCAUUCAUCGUCGUCUCUCUUUUCACAUGAAGGUUUACGUGCGACUUGCAGGCGGUGAGGCAACAAGACACAAACGCGACGAGG
Scylla paramamosain (green mud crab) is the source of this 1007-nucleotide long non-coding RNA. RefSeq lists it as uncharacterized. The record is from RefSeq and is a predicted model, not a curated record. The transcript has 6 exons. NCBI's taxonomy places the organism in Eukaryota, Metazoa, Arthropoda, Malacostraca, Decapoda, Portunidae.